Molecule: long non-coding RNA, 213 nt
Organism: Triplophysa rosa
Lineage: Eukaryota; Metazoa; Chordata; Actinopteri; Cypriniformes; Nemacheilidae
Exons: 3
Source: RefSeq, a predicted model, not a curated record
GUCUCGACCUUGGAUCUGGGCUGAAGAAAACCUGAAGGAUCCAAUGGCAAGGAUUGUGGCUUUCCUUCUAUAAACCGACUGAAAAGCGGCACAAAGUUCUUCUGGAGGUGCUUUUAUACACGAGAAACACAGGCGAUCAAACCAGCGCUUCUGGGCUGGUGGGGACAUGACCUGAAAACCAGAUUCCUCAUGAACAACAGUACGUGAUCUCUG